RNAcentral lists this ribosomal RNA (497 nucleotides) under uncultured bacterium. RNAcentral describes it as "partial 16S ribosomal RNA". It matches the Rfam family "Bacterial small subunit ribosomal RNA", at positions 28 to 507 of the family's 1533-position model. The record is from RNAcentral.
GACGAACGCUGGCGGCGUGCUUAAUACAUGCAAGUUGAGCGCUGAAGGCUGGUACUUGUAGCAACUGGAUGAGCCGCGAAGGGGUGAGUAACGCGUGGGGCCUCUGCCUUUGAUCGGGGGACCACAUUUGGAAUGGAAUGCUAAUACCGCAUGAACACUUGAAACACAAGGUUUAAGUUUGAAAGAUGCAAUUGCAUCACUCAAAGAUGAUCCCGCGUUGUAUUAGCUAGUUGGUGAGGUAAAGGCGCACCAAGGCGAUGAUACAUAGCCGACCUGAGAGGGUGAUCGGCCACAUUGGGACUGAGACACGGCCCAAACUCCUACGGGAGGCAGCAGUAGGGAAUCUUCGGCAAUAGACGAAAGUCUGACCGAGCAACGCCGCGUGAGUGAAGAAGGUUUUCGGAUCGUAAAACUCUGUUGGUAGAGAAGAACGUUGGUGAGAGUGGAAAGCUCAUCAAGUGACGGUAACUACCCAGAAAGGGACGGCUAACUACGUG